CAGCAGCCGCGGGAAUACGUAGGUGGCAAGCGUUGUCCGGAAUUAUUGGGCGUAAAGGGCUCGCAGGCGGUUUCUUAAGUCUGAUGUGAAAGCCCCCGGCUCAACCGGGGAGGGUCAUUGGAAACUGGGAAACUUGAGUGCAGAAGAGGAGAGUGGAAUUCCACGUGUAGCGGUGAAAUGCGUAGAGACGUGGAGGAACACCAGUGGCGAAGGCGACUCUCUGGUCUGUAACUGACGCUGAGGAGCGAAAGCGUGGGGAGCGAACAGGAUUAGAUACCCCAGUAGUCCCUGUCUCUUAUAC
This 301-nucleotide ribosomal RNA is filed under the name uncultured bacterium. RNAcentral's name for it is "partial 16S ribosomal RNA". It matches the Rfam family "Bacterial small subunit ribosomal RNA", at positions 509 to 807 of the family's 1533-position model. The record is from RNAcentral.